This 497-nucleotide ribosomal RNA is filed under the name uncultured bacterium. RNAcentral's name for it is "partial 16S ribosomal RNA". It matches the Rfam family "Bacterial small subunit ribosomal RNA", at positions 28 to 507 of the family's 1533-position model. The record is from RNAcentral.
GACGAACGCUGGCGGCGUGCCUAAUACAUGCAAGUUGAGCGCUGAAGGUUGGUACUUGUACCAACUGGAUGAGCAGCGAACGGGUGAGUAACGCGUGGGGAAUCUGCCUUUGAGCGGGGGACAACAUUUGGAAACGAAUGCUAAUACCGCAUAAAAACUUUAAACACAAGUUUUAAGUUUGAAAGAUGCAAUUGCAUCACUCAAAGAUGAUCCCGCGCUGUAUUAGCUAGUUGGUGAGGUAAAGGCUCACCAAGGCGAUGAUACAUAGCCGACCUGAGAGGGUGAUCGGCCACAUUGGGGCUGAGACACGGCACAAACGCCUACGGGAGGCAGCAGUAGGGAAUCUUCGGCAAUGGACGAAAGUCUGACCGAGCAACGCCGCGUGAGUGAAGAAGGUUUUCGGAUCGUAAAACUCUGUUGGUAGAGAAGAACGUUGGUGAGAGUGGAAAGCUCAUCAAGUGACGGUAACUACACAGAAAGGGACGGCUAACUACGUG